RNA transcript from Solanum pennellii, 3871 nucleotides. It is a transcript of the gene named bidirectional sugar transporter SWEET1-like, with no coding region annotated. Lineage: Eukaryota; Viridiplantae; Streptophyta; Magnoliopsida; Solanales; Solanaceae. The transcript has 5 exons. The record is from RefSeq and is a predicted model, not a curated record.
UUGGCACUCUGUUAACUGUAUUACCUGUAUUAAGCCUUUUGAACUUUCCAAAACUCACACAAAAAUGGAGCAAAAAUUGCUCAAAUUUUUACAGAAAUCCAAAACUAGCAAACAAUUGAAAGAGACCCAUCUUCAGAUUAUUGUCAAUGGCCUAAUGAAUAACAACUUUAUAGUGCCAAAGCUCAUAACUUUUUCCUCAAACUUCAUUUCUCUUGAUUAUGGACUAUAUGUCUUUGAAAGCUUACAAAACCCAACUCUUAUUUCCUACAAUACUUUGAUUCAAUGCUUCAUUGGUAAGACAUUGAAAUAUGCAUUAUAUACUUAUAACCAUAUGAGGGUAUCAAAUAUUACACCUAAUAGUUUCACAUUUACUUUUCUCUUGAGGUGUUUUGAGUCUUUUGAUGCUUUACAAGCUGGAGAAGUAGUUCAUAGUCAGAUUGCAAAGUUGGGUUUUGAGUCGAGUGUGUUUGCUAAGAAUACCCUUAUGGAUUUUUAUGCUAAAUGUGGUGGGAAUUUGGGUUCUGCUCGUAAGGUGUUUGAUGAAAUGUAUGAAAGAGAUGUUGUUUCGUGGAAUACGAUGAUCGGUACUUAUAUGAUUCAUGGUAAUCAAGAAUAUGCGCUUUGUUUGUUUGAGGCUAUGCCGGAGAGGAAUCUGAUUUCGUGGAAUUCGGUUAUUGCUGGGCUAUUGAAGGUUGGGAACAUGGAGAUGGCUCGUUCUGUUUUUAAGCGUAUGCCGGAGAAGAAUGAUGUUUCUUGGAAUACGAUGAUAUCUGGAUAUGUGAAGUUGGGUGACGUAGAGACUGCUAGAGCUAUAUUUGAUGAGAUGCCGGAGAAAAGUAUAAUCUCUUGGACUGCAGUGGUAUCAGGAUAUGCCACAAGUGGUGAUGUGCUAUCAGCAAGAAAGAUGUUUGAUCGAAUACCAGAAAAAAAUGUUGUUUCAUGGAAUGCCAUGAUUGCUGGAUAUGUAAAUAACCACAUGUUUGAUGAAGCUCUUUCAGUGUUUCAGCUUAUGUUGAUUGACGGGAACUGCAAACCCAACCAGACUACUUUGAUUAGUGUACUCUCAGCAUGUUCACAUUUGGGGUCUCAUGAGCAUGGAAAAUGGAUUGAUUCUUUUAUAAGAAAGAACAAAUUUGACUUAUCAGUUCCCCUAGGAAAUGCUUUAAUCGACACAUUUGCAAAAUGUGGAGAUAUGGAAAAUGCAAAAGCAGUUUUCCUGAGGAUGGCCCAAAGAUGCAUAAUUACUUGGACUACAAUGAUUUCAGGAUUAGCAGUGAAUGGACAUUGCAAAGACGCCCUAGAACUCUAUGAAAAAAUGUGCUUAGAAGGAGUAGAGCCGGAUGAUGUUGUAUUUAUUGCUGUUCUUUCGGCUUGCACUCAUGGAGGGCUGCUGGAAGAAGGGAAAAGGGUAUUUUACCAUAUGAUGAACAAAUUUGGCAUUAAACCACGGAUUGAGCAUUAUGGAUGCAUGGUUGAUCUUCUUGGCCGAGCUGGAAAGUUUGAAGAAGCACUGAGUUUCAUAAAGAGCAUGCAUUUGGAACCUAACGUGGUCAUUUGGGCCACAUUGCUUUCUGCUUGUAAAACUUAUAGAAACGGGGAGUUGUUAGAAUCCUUAACCAGGAGGAUCCUGGAGCAAGAGCCUAACAACCCAAGUUAUUUAACAUUGAUAAUGAAUCUAAGCUCUUCUGUUGGGCGGUGGCAAGAUACCUUGAACUUCUGUAUAGCUACUAGAGACCAGGGAAUAGUAAAAAUUCCUGGUUGUAGCUCAAUCCAAAUAGGAAAUAAUGUCCAUGAGUUCUUAGCUAAAGAUACAAAGCACCCACAGAGGAAGGAAAUCUAUAGAGUUUUAGGGUGUUUAAAUGGACACUUAAAAUCAUGUGAGGUCGAACGAAUUGUGAUGACCAUGGCUUCUUAGAGAAUCUAUCGAUAGAAAGAUUUUGUAAUGUCCAUUGCUCAAAGGCUACUUUCUUGAAUACGCAUUAUUCUGACAUGGGUGAAAUCUUACAUCACAUGUAACUUGAAGUUGCAUGAUCACAGUGGAUGGACUAUUGAUCUGAAUUAAGUACUGUCGUGAAAUGAAGUAAGAUAAUUCUCAAAGUACGGCUGCAUGGAAAGGAAUCAACUCGGAGAAACUGUGAUGUCCAAGAGUAAAUUAUUGCACUGCAAAUUUUGGGCAAGAUGAGAUGCAUGAAGGUACUAUUUAUCAGGCCAUGGAAGAAUUGCCAAAGUAUGUUCCAGAACAGGCACACCCUAACAUGUUGAGUCUUCUCUAUAUGCUCCACGUCCAUGCUUUAGCCUGUUGAGCUACUCUGAACUUUUGAAAGAUCUGGGUCUGUCAGAAAAAGUAGUCUUCAAGCAGAGGCGGAGUCAGGAUUUUUAUUAAGAGGAGCUCAAAAUCCGAAGAAGUAAACACACGAACUAGUCGAAGGGGUUUUUACAUCUACUAUAUAUACAUAAAAAGUAAUUUAACCAUGUAUAAAUACUAUAAUUUUUCGCCAAAGGGGGCUUGGAUGAACCCCUUACCAUAAGUUGGCUCUGCCCCUGUCUUCUAGUCCUCAAACCCUGAACUGGUCACAGGUGUGGGGGGAUGUCAGCUUAUACUUCAAAGGAGUUUAUAAUGGUCCUAUUUCACUUAUUGCCUUAUUUUGAAUUGGAUGCUCAUAUUCUUUCAUAACGUACUUUAAACCGUACGAAAAAUAAUAUCAAAAAGAGAUUAUAUUGGAGCAUAUAAACAAAUGGUUGAACUUGAAACAAAGGGAUCCUUGCUCAAAUAGCCGGCUGGAUUUGCUCUUUACUUCUCCUAGCCUAUAUGCCUAGAUUAUACUCUGGUAGUCUGGUUAUACAUGACUACACUCAUAGUAUACAAGGAUGAUACAUAUAGUAUACAUCUGCUGGCUAUUCUUAAUUGAAGUGGUUUGGUGGUGGCUAUUUAGGUUAAUUUUUCAAAAAACAUAAAGGGAGUGGUUGGUUGAUCAGAAAGUUGAGACAGAUCAAUAGGAUGGGAGGAUGGUGGGUUGGUCGGGAAGGUGUUGAAGGAUGACAAGAUUUGCACAAAAUCUAGAGUUUAGUUGAUGGAUCGACUGCAAGAUUCUCAUUUUCUUAUUUGUUUUUGCCAAGACAACACAACUACUGUUACUACAUCAAUAGUUUCAUUCUAAGACACCUUUCUCUUACUACUCUUCAUGUUACUUUUCUACAGUACCCAGAGUUACUUGAUCAAUAUACUGAUAUACCGUCAUUUUACUUAAUUCAGAUAAUGUGGACAUGUACUAGAUUCCUUCGAGAAGUUAAGCACAAAGUUGAGCAGUGUUCUGUUUGGAUGUCCACAUUUGGAUUGGUGCUCUGUCAAUAUUCACUUCUUGAUUGUUUGUUUUCCAUAUAGAUAUGCUUUGCUUUUGAAGAAGCUGUCUGUUUUCUCCUGUGAAUCCAAUCCAUUUCCACAUAUAUAGAACUUUUGUGUGCAAAUGUUGUCUCUUUUGCUUGCUGUGCCUCCAGCUUUCUGUUGAAAAUAUAGUGCUGAAAAUGGAAGCUGGUUGGAAGAGAAUCUGAUGCCGACACUAGUAUAUGGAAGUUGAAGUACUUUCACUGGUUCGUAUGCUCUUCACCAAGGAAAUGUUUUUGGUGUAUUACUCUUCAUGGCACCCAUAGUUUGACACUACAUACAGGAUUACAUUCAAAAGGAUUAUUAGCAAGAGAUCAACAGAACAGUUCUCUAACAUACCUUAUGUAAUAACUCUGCUCAAUUGCUUGCUCUCAGUUUGAGGCGGGUAAUCAAAUCUAAAAGCGUUGAGUACAUGCCAUUCUUUUUGUCACUAGCUGUUUUCAUCUGCAGUUUGUCAUGGUUUAUCUUCGCCCUGCUCGGAAAGGACCC